Molecule: ribosomal RNA, 443 nt
Filed under: uncultured bacterium
Lineage: Bacteria
Description: partial 16S ribosomal RNA
Rfam family: Bacterial small subunit ribosomal RNA
Source: RNAcentral
CCUACGGGAGGCAGCAGUGGGGAAUAUUGGACAAUGGGGGGAACCCUGAUCCAGCGACGCCGCGUGCGUGAAGAAGUAUUUCGGUAUGUAAAGCUCUAUCAGCAGGGAAGAAAGAAAUGACGGUACCUGACUAAGAAGCCCCGGCUAACGACGUGCCAGCAGCCGCGGUAAUACGGAGGGGGCAAGCGUGAUCCGGAUUGACUGGGUGUAAAGGGAGCGUAGACGGCGAUGCAAGUCUGAAGUGAAAGGCGGGGGCCAAACCCCUGGACUGCUUUGGAAACUGUAUGGCUGGAGUGAAGGAGAGGUAAGUGGAAUUCCUAGUGUAGCGGUGAAAUGCGUAGAUAUUAGGAGGAACACCAGUGGCGAAGGCGGCUUACUGGACUGUAACUGACGUUGAGGCUCGAAAGCGUGGGGAGCAAACAGGAUUAGAUACCCCUGUAGUC